AAAUGCUUACUUUAUUCUAGUCUCAAUUGAAUAAAGUGUUAAGUGUUAGUUCUAACAACUGAAUAAGUUAAAUGGCCCCUACUUAGAGCCUGGAAAUUAUAAAUAAUCAGAUAUUCAAUUUCCUAAGUUUUCAGAGAUUUACGGGUUACACAGUACAGCAAUUCAUUUGAUUACCCAGAUAUCAUUCUUAAAUAUCUAGUACUAAGCUUUUCUUAAAUUUCCUUCAAUUUAUUGUUUCUUUAGAAGACUUUAGGUGUUAAAAUUUAGCUUUGUUGUCUUCAUUUAAAAAGUUGAGUAUAGGCAUUUUUUCCAAUGAAUACCUUUAUUCUUAUUACAGGCCAUCCGAGUUACUCAUGAGACCAGUGCCCAUGAAGGUCAGACUGAGGCACCAAGUAUAGAUGAGAAAGUAGAUCUUCAUUUUAUUGCAUUAGUUCAUGUAGAUGGGCAUCUCUAUGAAUUAGAUGGGCGGAAGCCAUUUCCAAUUAACCAUGGUGAAACUAGUGAUGAAACUUUAUUAGAGGAUGCCAUAGAAGUUUGCAAGAAGUUUAUGGAGCGCGACCCUGAUGAACUAAGAUUUAAUGCGAUUGCUCUUUCUGCAGCAUAGCUUGUCAAUAAUGGAAACACCAAAAACUGUAUUAUUUGCAACUAAAUUUUCUCUGCCAUACACUAACUCAAAAAUUUUGAUAUUUUCAUUAACUUGAUGAUUAAACUUUAUGUGAGUU
This 722-nucleotide small RNA is filed under the name Pan troglodytes (chimpanzee). Its description in RNAcentral is "processed transcript". Lineage: Eukaryota; Metazoa; Chordata; Mammalia; Primates; Hominidae. The record is from RNAcentral.